UCAGCCUGAAGAGACGUUCGAAAAUGUGGCGGAGGCGCCGGGUUGAACUCGACUACGCGAAAAAUGAACAAAGUCUAUUUCUGAACACUUAACGUUUCGCCAACUACAACACAAGGAAGAGCUUGAACUUUUGAUUGCACGGGUCUUGACACAGGAGCUGGCAGAUUUCUACAUUUUGAUUUGUUGGAGCAAGAAUAUUAGCCUCGUGGCCAACUUGGUUUGUGAGGUUGGUAAUAUUAGGUUCCUUUUGAAUGUUGUUAAUCCUUUAAAUGUGAAGUAGCCAAAUAAAAAUGUGUGCAACAUUCAGCAUCGGACAAAUCAAGACUAAAUUGAAAUGUGUUGUGUUGUGGUGACCUGACAAAUAUUUCUACUGCUGGGGUGUGACUGAGGAGUUGGGUCGCUGAUUGCAGUGGCACUGUUGUCCCAUCCUGAUGACCAGUGGUGACACAAACUGUGCACAGGGGCCAUCUGAGUCACUCCCGAACCUCACAGGACAACAUUUGUCUGUGCAACGCUUGCGCCAGACUUUUUCUAAUGUACAGACAAGUUGCUGGGGAAAAGGAUGCCUGGGUUACCAACGGAGCUGGAGACUUGCAAGAUUUCAUGUAGUUUGUGUUGACUUUGACCUGCUAAUGUGACAUCGGCACAGCUGUUUUGAGUCCCGCUUGGACAUUUUCCACUUGUCUGGUCUUCGCUCCUGAUUAUAGAAGUGGUGAUAUUCAUGACACUUAAUGGUGUCUUCCCAUUUGUUGGUUUGCUAAAAUUAAUCACAGUGGCAGCGAGAUGCCAAUGUAUCUGAUAUGGCCAAAGUCCAUAUAAUCAAUACUUUUAUUUGGGUUGUGAUGUACACUGCAUGUCCUCUUAAAAUAACUACUGUAAAUCUCUUAAACCUUUUUUUUUUUUUUUUUUUUUUAUAUAAACGUCUCAACUCAGACUCAGUACUAAAAAGUUAUAAAAUACUCAAUGCUAAAAGUUCAAUUCCAGACAAAAGACAUUCCCAUGGCCAAAUGUUAAAUUCUGAAUUUAUCAUGGUGCUUAAUAUUUCAAAGCUGCGGGUAAUGAUUACUUAACUGUUCACAUUAACACCCUUGUUGAUAGAGUACUACUGUUUUGCAGAGGUGACCAGACAAGCUUAAGUAUAUUGACGCGUUUGCAGUUUCUAUUAUCAGACACAGCUGCUGCUCCUGUCUUCAAUUUCUCUGUUAUUCUUCAAGGUGGUGAGGUUAAAGCUGAAAAGGAGUCAAGAGGACCAAGACCUGCUCGCACCGUUGCACCAAAAGCAAAUUUGGGUCUUUGAUGUACCGCAGCUGGAAUAAUUACUGCCCUUCCUUUAAUAAUCUGUGAAUAAAGAUUUGGACGAA
Long non-coding RNA from Phycodurus eques (leafy seadragon), 1361 nucleotides. RefSeq lists it as uncharacterized. Lineage: Eukaryota; Metazoa; Chordata; Actinopteri; Syngnathiformes; Syngnathidae. The transcript is spliced from 3 exons. The record is from RefSeq and is a predicted model, not a curated record.